AUUGAACGCUAGCGGGAUGCCUUACACAUGCAAGUCGAACGGCAGCGCGGACUUCGGUCUGGCGGCGAGUGGCGAACGGGUGAGUAAUGUAUCGGAACGUGCCCAGUAGCGGGGGAUAACUACUCGAAAGAGUAGCUAAUACCGCAUACGCCCUACGGGGGAAAGGGGGGGAUCGCAAGACCUCUCACUAUUGGAGCGGCCGAUAUCGGAUUAGCUAGUUGGUGAGGUAAAGGCUCACCAAGGCGACGAUCCGGAGCUGGUUUGAGAGGACGACCAGCCACACUGGGACUGAGACACGGCCCAGACUCCUACGGGAGGCAGCAGUGGGGAAUUUUGGACAAUGGGGGCAACCCUGAUCCGGCCAUUCCGCGUGUGCGAUGAAGGCCUUCGGGUUGUAAAGCACUUUUGGCAGGAAAGAAAUCGCACGGAUUAAUACUCUGUGUGGAUGACGGUACCUGCAGAAUAAGCACCGGCUAACUACGUGCCAGCCGCCGCAGUAA
This 500-nucleotide ribosomal RNA is filed under the name uncultured bacterium. RNAcentral's name for it is "partial 16S ribosomal RNA". It matches the Rfam family "Bacterial small subunit ribosomal RNA", at positions 30 to 523 of the family's 1533-position model. The record is from RNAcentral.